This is a long non-coding RNA of Leopardus geoffroyi (Geoffroy's cat), 1235 nucleotides long. RefSeq lists it as uncharacterized. The record is from RefSeq and is a predicted model, not a curated record. Lineage: Eukaryota; Metazoa; Chordata; Mammalia; Carnivora; Felidae. The transcript has 3 exons.
UUUGUUUAAAGUUUGAGAGGCUAACAGACAUCCGGGUGGAAAUGUUGAGCAAGCAGGUAGGGUUCAGGGCAGAGAUGUGGGCUGAAGAAACACACCUGAGGCUUGACAGUGGUCAGCACAUAAAGGGGUUUUAAAGCCUUGAGCUUGGAGCAGGUCCCUUGGGAAGUGAGGGCAGGCAAAAAGAAGAGGUAAGAGGACAGCACUUGGAGCAAUGCAUCACUAAGAAGCUGGGGAGAUGGUGGGGGUAACUAACGACGGACCCCGAGCAGAGGAAGAGACAAGCCAAGCCAGGGUGGUGCCCUAGAAGGUAAAUAAAGAAAGUGUUUCAGAAGGAGGAUGUGAUCACUGGUUUUAGAGUAAUGUCAGCUCUGGGGAGAUGAAGACUGGGGACAGCUGGCCACUGGCGAUGGGGAGUAAAUGUUGGUUGGAUGAAUAAACAGGGAAUACGCUGAAAUUCCAUCUAGAACUGUGAUGUCAGAUGGGUUCUGGGAUAGGAUCUGGCCUCAUGAACAGCAAAUGAGAUGAUGCCAGUUAAGCAAAGCCAACACAACUUGGGCUCAAGCAGCCAAAGGCCAAAUUGGAGGCUCUAGAUCCUUCCAGCUUCAGGUCGGGCAGGAUUGUUCCUGGGAACUAGAAGGAGACCCACUGUAGGUAAAUCAGGUGGUAGCAGCUAUGUGGGGCCUGGAGGUCAAGUCCAGACCCCAGAUUCAGAAGCAGAGGCAAAACUGAAAUGUCACCGGGAAUGUGUUACGUGCCAGGCACUAUGCAAAGCCAGAGGGGAGAACCCGAAGACAUAAGACGUGGUCUUUCCUGGGGAGGUUCCCCAUCUAAUAGGAGAGAGACACAAGUGGAUGGAUGGCCCAGAUGCAGGAUAGUUAGAGGUCCACUCAAGGUCAAGUUCUAUGCUGUGAGACUCCACGGAAACAGUUCCAUCUCCCCCGUGGAGUCUGAACUAGAUCCACUAAAAGGCCAGUUUCAAAGGCCAUCCGAGACCCAGACGGUGCUUGAACAAAAAUGGUCAGUGGUAACUCUUCAACCUGGAUUCCCGAGGAAGAAGAGCGCCAGCAAGGCCACCAUCUCAGAACUGGCAAACUGCAAGACUGUCCUCUGGUCUAACCACCACCCCUCUUCCGCGUUCCUGCCACACCGGUGCACCCCUACCUACCGGGACAGGAAUCCCACUACGUUCUUUUCCUCUUACUAAAAGGAUAAACUUUAAACUCUUUUGCUUUUUC